Molecule: ribosomal RNA, 253 nt
Filed under: uncultured bacterium
Lineage: Bacteria
Description: partial 16S ribosomal RNA
Rfam family: Bacterial small subunit ribosomal RNA
Source: RNAcentral
AACGUAGGGGGCCAGCGUUGCUCGGAAUUACUGGGCGUAAAGGGUCCGUAGGCGGUGUAGCAAGUCGGAAGUGAAAUCUUUGGGCUUAACCCAGAGUCUGCUCCCGAAACUGCUAUGCUAGAGUGCGAGAGAGGCGAGUGGAAUUGCGGGUGUAGCGGUGAAAUGCGUAGAUAUCCGCAGGAACAUCCGAGGCGAAAGCGGCUCGCUGGAUCGCAACUGACGCUGAGGGACGAAAGCUAGGGGAGCAAACAGG